GACGAACGCUGGCGGCGCGCUUAACACAUGCAAGUCGUGCGGUGUCGAAGGCAAGUCUUACGACAAGCCUUCGACACAGCGGCGAACGGGUGAGUAACACGUGAGUAGCUGUCCUAAGGAGGGGGAUAACGCCUGGAAACGGGUGCUAACACCCCAUAUGCCUCGCAAGAGGUGAAAGUGUACUUGCUACAGCCUUAGGGUGUGCUCGCGGCCUAUCAGCUAGUUGGUGAGGUAACGGCUCACCAAGGCCAAGACGGGUAGCCGGCCUGAGAGGGUGUACGGCCACACUGGAAUUGAGAUACGGUCCAGACUCCUACGGGAGGCAGCAGUGGGGAAUCUUGGGCAAUGGGCGAAAGCCUGACCCAGCGACGCCGCGUUGGGGAUGAAGCCCUUCGGGGCGUAAACCCAUGUUGUAGGGGACGAAGAAAGUGACGGUACCUACGAGAAAGCCCCGGCCAACUACGUGCCAGCAGCCGCGGUAAAACCACGUAGUAGUCGUCUCGUAGACGGCG
This 512-nucleotide ribosomal RNA is filed under the name uncultured bacterium. Its description in RNAcentral is "bacterial SSU rRNA". It matches the Rfam family "Bacterial small subunit ribosomal RNA", at positions 38 to 536 of the family's 1533-position model. The record is from RNAcentral.